GCUUCCCCCUUCACUCAGCUCUCAUUCUUCUCCUUCCUGCCACCAUGUGAAGAGGGAUGUGUUUGCUUUCACUUCUACCAUGACUGUCAUUGGGUCAAGGUUUUGGCCAGAGAAUAGCAAGGAUGACUUAUCUCUGCUCCACUAUGUCUGGAACCUCUUGGAAUCAUUUGGAGUCUUCUUCACUCUCUUGCCUGGCACCUGGACUGGGAAAACUUGGAACCCACUGGGACUGUUGACCAAAGCACAAACAUGUGGCCUCUUCAUGUGGCUUGGGCUUUCCACAGCAUGGAGGCUGAUUUCUGAGGAGAGGCCCAAAAAUAAUAUACACAAAGAGAGAAGCAGAUGGAAUUUUGAGAGAGAAAAGGAGGAGGUAAAAUGAAGACAGGCAGAGAUGGGAGUGGUGCAGCCAAGAGCCAAGCAACACCUGGCGCCACCAGCAGCUGGAAGAGGAAAAGAAGAGAUUUAUCUCCAGAGUCUUAGGAGGAAGCACAGCAGUGCUUUAAUUUUGGACUUCUGGCUUCCACAAUAAGAAGAGAAUAAAUCGAUGUUGCCUUAGUCCAUCCAGUUUAUGGUAAUUUGUUACAGCACUCUAGGAAACUAAUACAACAAACAAGGCCUGACUGAACAGAGUGGAAAGUUAGCAGAGAGGAAGGAGAGAUCUAGUAUAGUGUCUGGCAUGUAGCAGAGACACAUGCAUUUGUUGACUUAAUAAAAAUAAAGGGGAAGAGCCUGGAGGUGGAAAGAAAAAGAAGACAAAAGAAGGAAUGAUUAGAACAUAGUUUAUGAGGAUGAAUGAAGAGGAUGACAUUGAUGUGGAAGAGGAAAGAGAGUGUGAUUCUCCAGAUUAUUGGUAUUUAAAACUAAAAGCAUUCAUAGAUGACUAACUGUAAG
Molecule: long non-coding RNA, 891 nt
Filed under: Homo sapiens (human)
Lineage: Eukaryota; Metazoa; Chordata; Mammalia; Primates; Hominidae
Description: HSALNT0242680
Source: RNAcentral